GAUGAACGCUAGCUACAGGCUUAACACAUGCAAGUCGAGGGACCGGCGCACGGGUGAGUAACACGUAUCCAACCUGCCCUUUACUCGGGGAUAGCCUUUCGAAAGAAAGAUUAAUACCCGAUGUAAAGGAUGGGGAUGCGUUCCAUUAGGUUGUUGGUGAGGUAACGGCUCACCAAGCCUUCGAUGGAUAGGGGUUCUGAGAGGAAGGUCCCCCAUAUGGGAAGUGAGACAGGGUCCAAACUCCUACGGGAGGCAGCAGUGAGGAAUAUUGGUAAAUGGGCUUUAGCCUGAACCAGCCAGGUAGCGUGAAGGAUGAAGGCUUAUGGGUCGUAAACUUCUUUUAUAUAAGAAUAUGUAUUAGAUGAAUAAGGAUCGGCUAACUCCGUGCCAGCAGCCGCGGUAAUUC
Molecule: ribosomal RNA, 406 nt
Filed under: uncultured bacterium
Lineage: Bacteria
Description: partial 16S ribosomal RNA
Rfam family: Bacterial small subunit ribosomal RNA
Source: RNAcentral